This 892-nucleotide long non-coding RNA is filed under the name Brachypodium distachyon (stiff brome). RNAcentral describes it as "long non-coding RNA (BDIS_LNC003394)". The record is from RNAcentral. Lineage: Eukaryota; Viridiplantae; Streptophyta; Magnoliopsida; Poales; Poaceae.
GUCGACGAAUUUGAUAUUCUUUUACAAAAUAUACUUAUCUUAAUAUGUAUAACCGGAGUUUAUAUUACAUGCCCCUCUCCCAACGAUAGUUGUAGUACUCUUAUAAUAGUAGUACUCAUGAAUACAGUUAAUCCGGGUUGUUGGGAGAGAUCACAUGCAUAAAUACAACAUGAAACAAACGUGUGAAAAAGGUACAUAAAAUCGGUGUGACCCGUUCUUGUAUUAUAAGAAAUCAACUUGCUUAGGCCUUGCCGGACUCCUCACAACCCGGUGGCUUGAAGGCGAUGAAGCUGAUGCACUGCACUUGCCUGGUGUUGUCGAAGCCGAUGAUGCGGACAUAGGCGUCAGGGUACUCCUUCUUCACCUCCUCCAGCUCCUUUAGCACCUGCGUGGCGUCGGUGCACCCGAACAUGGGAAGCUUCCACAUUGUCCAGUACCUGCCGUCGUAGUACCCGGGAGAGUUGCCGUGCUCACGGAAGACGAAACCGACCUUGCUGAACUCGAGGCAAGGAACCCACUUGGAGCGGAUGAGAUACUCGAUCUGCUUCAAGAGGGACUCCACGGUGAGAGGCGGCAGGUAGGAAAGGGUUUCGAACUUCUUGAUGCCCUCAAUUGGCCACACCUACAAUUAGAUUAAUAAUUAGCACCGAAAGUAUAAUUUGAGACACAUAUCAGUAUUUCACUUCAACAUAUGUACAUGAUGACAUACAUACCUGCAUGCACCUGAUCCUUCCACCGUUGGAGACGCUGCCGAGACCAGCGCUGGCUGAGCGGCGGCCGAUGGGGAGCCCGGCGGUGGACUUGAGGCCCUGGAAAGGAGCAACGGCAGUAGCCGCUGACGACAUCACUGUGGGAGCCAUCGUACACGUACGUAGAUAGCUAACAAGAGGAG